UUCGGUUUCUCCAUACAAAUU
This 21-nucleotide non-coding RNA is filed under the name Caenorhabditis elegans. Lineage: Eukaryota; Metazoa; Nematoda; Chromadorea; Rhabditida; Rhabditidae. The record is from RNAcentral.